RNAcentral lists this ribosomal RNA (1958 nucleotides) under human gut metagenome. RNAcentral describes it as "bacterial LSU rRNA". It matches the Rfam family "Bacterial large subunit ribosomal RNA", at positions 1 to 1991 of the family's 2925-position model. The record is from RNAcentral.
GAAAGUAAACAAGGGCGCAUGGAGGAUGCCUAGGCUCUCGGAGGCGAAGAAGGACGUGAUAAGCUGCGAAAAGUUACGGUAAGGCGCAAAUAGCCCUAGACCCGUAAAUAUCCGAAUGGGGCAACCCGGCCAGCAAUGGCCAUACCGCCAAGCGGUAAGCCAACGCGGGGAACUGAAACAUCUAAGUACCCGCAGGAAAAGAAAAUAACAAUGAUUCCGCCAGUAGUGGCGAGCGAACGCGGAACAGCCCAAACCACCCGUGUUACGGCACGAGUGGGGUAGAAGGAUCCACGCUACGGCAAGAAAUAAGUUAGCAGAAUACGAUGGAAAUCGUAGCCAGAGACGGUGACAGCCCGGUACGCGAAAACGGACAGAAGCCCAGUGGACACCUGAGUAACCCAGGACACGAGAAAUCCGGGGCGAAUCAGCGGGGCCCAUCCCGUAAGGCUAAAUACUCCCGAGAGACCGAUAGCGAACCAGUACUGUGAAGGAAAGGUGAAAAGAACCUCGAACAGAGGAGUGAAACAGACCCUGAAACCAUGCGCCUACAAGCGGUCGGAGCAUGUUAAAAUGUGACGGCGUGCCUUUUGCAUAAUGAACCUACGAGUUACUCUCGCUGGCAAGGUUAAGCGAUUCAGUCGCGCAGCCGAAGCGAAAGCAAGUCCGAACAAGGCGUACAGUCAGCGGGAGUAGACGCGAAACCAAGUGAUCUACCCUUGGUCAGGUUGAAGGUUGGGUAACACCAACUGGAGGACCGCACCGAUAAGCGUUGAAAAGCUUACGGAUGAACUGAGGGUAGGAGUGAAAGGCCAAUCAAACUUGGAGAUAGCUCGUACUCCCCGAAAUGCAUUUAGGUGCAGCCUCGAAGCAGAGUGAUAGAGGUAGAGCGACUGAUAAGAUGCGAGGGCUUCACCGCCUAUCAAGUCUUGACAAACUCCGAAUACUAUCACUUGAUCUUUGGGAGUGAGGGCAUGGGUGCUAAGGUCCAUGUCCGAAAGAGGAACAACUCAGACCACCGGCUAAGGUCCCGAAAUAAGGGCUAAGUUGAACAAACGAAGUAAAACUGCAAAGACAGCUAGGAUGUUGGCUUGGAAGCAGCCAUUCAUUUAAAGAGUGCGUAACAGCUCACUAGUCGAGGAGUUUUGCAUGGAUAAUAAUCGGGCAUAAGCCCUUUACCGAAGCUGUGGAUGUCGUAAGACAUGGUAGGGGAGCAUUCCGGCGGCGACGAAGGCCGUCCUCGAGGACGACUGGAGCUUUCGGAAAAGCAAAUGUAGGUAUAAGUAACGAUAAAGGGGGCGCGAAACCCCCUCGCCAUAAGACUAAGGAUUCCUGAUCAACGCUAAUCGGAUCAGGGUAAGUCGGGCCCUAAGGCGCAGCCGAACGGCGCAGCCGAUGGAAGAAACGGUAAAAAUUCCGUUACUGGAUAUAGGAGCGAUGUGGAGACGGAGAAGUGACACACCCGCCUGCCGACGGAAGCGCAGGUUAAAGGAAGUAGGUAAACGCCGGGCAGGCAAAUCCGCCUGGCGUGCCGAAGCUGACAGUAUCGAGAGCCCCCGGGCAAUCGAAUAGCGGUGGUAAUCAGGCUCCCAAGAAAAUCCGCUAAGCAUAUUCUAUAUUCACCCGUACCCCAAACGGACACACGUAGUCGGGUAGAAUAUACCAAGGCGCUCGAAAGACUCACGGUUAAGGAACUAGGCAAAUUGACCCUGUAACCUCGGGAAAAAGGGUCCCCAGUAAGAUGGGGCGCAGAGAAUAGGUCCAGGCAACUGUUUAACAAAAACACAGGGCUGUGCAAAAUUUCAAGAUGAAGUAUACAGCCUGACACCUGCCCGGUGCCGGAAGGUUAAGAGGAGAGCUUAUCGCAAGAGAAGGCUUGAAUUGAAGCCCCGGUAAACGGCGGCCGUAACUAUAACGGUCCUAAGGUAGCGAAAUUCCUUGUCGGGUAAGUUCCGACCUGC